AUAAUGAUACUUUCGUCCAGCCACAGCCCCGCACGUCUGCGGGAUCACGCAAUGGGGGCGACUCGGUGAGAACCACGGAGAGGUGAAACUCCUAUGA
This 97-nucleotide non-coding RNA is filed under the name unclassified sequences. RNAcentral describes it as "pemK RNA". It matches the Rfam family "pemK RNA". The record is from RNAcentral.